UUUUCCGCAAUCGACGCAAGUCGGACGGAGCAACGCCGCGUGCGGGAAGAAGGCCCUCGGGUUGUAAACCGCUUUUGUGAGGGAAGAAGAUCUGACGGUACCUCACGAAUAAGUCACGGCUAACUACGUGCCAGCAGCCGCGGUAAUACGUAGGUGGCGAACGUUGUCCGGAUUCACUGGGCGUAAAGCGCGCGCAGGCGGACCGGUAAGUCUGAGGUGAAAGCUCCCGGCUCAACUGGGAGAAGCCCUUGGAUACUGCUGGUCUUGAGACACUUAGAGGAGAGUGGAAUUCCCGGUGUAGUGGUGGAAUGCGUAGAUAUCGGGAGGAACACCAGUGGCGAAAGCGACUCUCUGGGAGUGAUCUGACGCUGAGGCGCGAAAGCGUGGGGAGCAAACC
This 397-nucleotide ribosomal RNA is filed under the name uncultured bacterium. RNAcentral's name for it is "bacterial SSU rRNA". It matches the Rfam family "Bacterial small subunit ribosomal RNA", at positions 362 to 774 of the family's 1533-position model. The record is from RNAcentral.